ACCCUAGAGAUAGGGCUUCCCCUUCGGGGGCAGAGUGACAGGUGGUGCAUGGUUGUCGUCAGCUCGUGUCGUGAGAUGUUGGGUUAAGUCCCGCAACGAGCGCAACCCUUGAUCUUAGUUGCCAGCAUUCAGUUGGGCACUCUAAGGUGACUGCCGGUGACAAACCGGAGGAAGGUGGGGAUGACGUCAAAUCAUCAUGCCCCUUAUGACCUGGGCUACACACGUGCUACAAUGGGCAGAACAAAGGGCAGCGAAGCCGCGAGGCUAAGCCAAUCCCACAAAUCUGUUCUCAGUUCGGAUCGCAGUCUGCAACUCGACUGCGUGAAGCUGGAAUCGCUAGUAAUCGCGGAUCAGCAUGCCGCGGUGAAUACGUUCCCGGGCCUUGUACACACCGCCCGUCACACCACGAGAGUUUGUAACACCCGAAGUCGGUGAGGUAACCUUUUGGAGCCAGCCGCCGA
Molecule: ribosomal RNA, 461 nt
Filed under: Bacillus licheniformis
Lineage: Bacteria; Bacillati; Bacillota; Bacilli; Caryophanales; Bacillaceae
Description: bacterial SSU rRNA
Rfam family: Bacterial small subunit ribosomal RNA
Source: RNAcentral